This is a long non-coding RNA of Camelina sativa (false flax), 470 nucleotides long. RefSeq lists it as uncharacterized. The record is from RefSeq and is a predicted model, not a curated record. NCBI's taxonomy places the organism in Eukaryota, Viridiplantae, Streptophyta, Magnoliopsida, Brassicales, Brassicaceae.
ACUAAUUUCACUUAUUCUUCUCUCUCUCACCCCAGAGCGUAAACUCUUCCGCCACAAAUGUCAAGUUUAAGUGUAAAAUCUUCCGCCACAAACGACAAGUUUAAGCGACGUUUCUAACAAAUCUGAUGAGGUGGUUAUUCUGAAGAAGCAUUUAUCAAGUGGCUAAUUGCAGUAAAGUAGCUGAUCAUAUAAAGAGUUUUAUAGAUCUAUAAGGAUAUCAACUUUGAUGGUGAAGCUGUGACGAGAUGAACAGAGCUUGCGGCGAAAAGGUGUUUUCGGCGAGCAUUGAAGACUUAUCAAACACAACACACGUGGAUACACAUGUGUCCUAAAAUUGGAUUUUUAUUAUGUAGAAUAUUCUACAAUAUUUUUCUUUAUUUUGAUAAUAAUUAAAAGUCCAGUUUGUUGGGCUUAUUCCGUGAACCAAUUUUAGCAGCCUUAAUGGGCUUUCCAUUACAAGGAAUUUAACC